GAGACCGUGAAUGGUGUUCCCCCCACCGUGACGCCCCUGAUGUGCGGGUGUUGCCUGAUAGCUUGUAGUAGUGGCUCCAAUGUUAAGGCGAAGAGCAGGGGGGACAAUGGGCAACCCUGUCUGGUGCCGUUUCCCAGGGUGAAGGGUGUUGCGCGUGCCCCUGUAAUGAGUAUUUGUGCCCUCAGAUCGGUGUAUAAUGCUCGUAUAGCUGUUAUGAAGGUCUCCGGGAACCCCUGGAAUCGGAGUAAUUCAAAUAAAUAAGGGCAUAACACCCUAUCAAACGCCUUCUCCGCGUCUAGUGAGAGCGCCAGAGAAGGCGCCCCGGAUUCCCCCAUGUGCCAGAUUGUGCUGACCCCUCGUCUCGUAUUUUCAUACAAUUGGC
This is a non-coding RNA of Pelobates cultripes (western spadefoot toad), 382 nucleotides long. The record is from the annotation of a GenBank genome assembly. Lineage: Eukaryota; Metazoa; Chordata; Amphibia; Anura; Pelobatidae.